CGGAAUGGAUAAGCGCUGAAAGCAUCUAAGCGCGAAGCCAACUUCAAGAUAAGAUUUCCCACCGCAAGGGUAAGACCCCAGAAAGACUAUCUGGUUGAUAGGUCGAAGGUGUAAGUGCAGCAAUGUAUUUAGCUUAUCGAUACUAAUAGGUCGAGGACUUGACCAA
This 166-nucleotide ribosomal RNA is filed under the name Clostridioides difficile. RNAcentral's name for it is "partial 23S ribosomal RNA". It matches the Rfam family "Bacterial large subunit ribosomal RNA", at positions 2756 to 2925 of the family's 2925-position model. The record is from RNAcentral. Lineage: Bacteria; Bacillati; Bacillota; Clostridia; Peptostreptococcales; Peptostreptococcaceae.